This 416-nucleotide ribosomal RNA is filed under the name uncultured Gammaproteobacteria bacterium. RNAcentral's name for it is "bacterial SSU rRNA". It matches the Rfam family "Bacterial small subunit ribosomal RNA", at positions 9 to 426 of the family's 1533-position model. The record is from RNAcentral. Lineage: Bacteria; Pseudomonadati; Pseudomonadota; Gammaproteobacteria.
GAGUUUGAUCGUGGCUCAGAUUGAACGCUGGCGGCAGGCCUAACACAUGCAAGUCGAGCGCGAAAGUUCUUCGGAAUGAGUAGAGCGGCGGACGGGUGAGUAACGCGUAGGAAUCUGUCCGGUAGUGGGGGAUAACGUUCCGAAAGGAACGCUAAUACCGCAUACGCCCCAAGGGGGAAAGCGGGGGAGGUUUUCGGACCGCCUCGUGCUAUCGGAGGAGCCUGCGUCGGAUUAGCUAGUUGGUAGGGUAAAGGCCUACCAAGGCGACGAUCCGUAGCUGGUCUGAGAGGAUGAUCAGCCACACCGGAACUGAGACACGGUCCGGACUCCUACGGGAGGCAGCAGUGGGGAAUAUUGCGCAAUGGGCGAAAGCCUGACGCAGCCAUGCCGCGUGUGUGAAGAAGGCCUUCGGUUGU